CUGCUUCCUCUGCAUCGAAGCCGCUCGCCCUUUGUCUACAUCGCCCCAAACCGGUCUCCCCUCCGCGCGUUGACCACGCCCUGCCUCACUUCGGUCUGCCUGCGAAGCCCAGCCAGCUGGCCUGCCUUGCCUCUUCACCGACCGGGCUGAGGCCCACUGGGUGAGGCCACACCCCAGCGCCCCUGCUCUUGUUUUUUUUCCUCUGUUGGGCUUCCUAUUCACAUUCGGCCCAUGUGAUGUUUUUUCAGGAUCUGCGAAUUUAGCUAUUACCCAAGGAUUUACUGUUUUGCAGAAAACCCCCCGUUCUUCAUGCAUUUAAUAACUAAUAAACCGUGCUUCGGAUUAAAAUGAUUUAAACAUGUUAAAUGCUUAGAAUUUUGUGUAGUUUAAUAAUAUGCCACUUCCACCCAUGUUAAAAUUGUUUAAAAUGUUGUUUGAUUAAAUUUGCUCGAAUAAUAUGUUAAAAUGAUUUAUUUCAUAACUAAAUAACCGUAGCUCGGAUUUAAAUAAACUUUAUAUGUAGAUGGGGUAGAAAAAUGCCUAGUUUAACUUGGUGCACUUCAUUUUGCUGUUUAACAACAUUAAAAUUGCGUUUAUGGCAGAACAGCACCAAUCCCAAAAUAUGGACAUGAGGAUUUUCCGGAAUUGUUGUUGUUUGUUUCCGGCCUCAUUUAACUUGCUUAAAUAGGUAGUUUCCUUAUGCUUCACCUCUUGCCAUGGUUAACAACAUUUAACAUUGUUGGGUACAUAAACGAGAGAGAACUAAAUAAUUGAUGUGGUGUUUCGUCAAUAUGCAACUCGUUGCAUAUUGAGCUCCACUUAAUUUGUAGUAUUGUGUGUUGCACUUUGCCAUGCCAUGCCUCAUUAAACCGGACACGCAUCAUACUUGAUUGUGCAUCAUGCCAUGUUUAUGUUUGUGUGUUUACUUUGUUGUUUGUUUCUUUCCGGGUUGCUUCUCUCGUUAGCUUUGGUUUCGUUCCGGAGUUGUGAGGAUCCGUUCGACUACAUCCGUUUGUCUUCUUCAUGGACUCGUUCUUCUUCCUUGCGGGAUCUCAGGCAAGAUGACCACCCCUCGAAAUCACUUCUAUCUUUGCUUUGCUAGUUGCUCGUUCUAUUGCCAUGCUGCGCUACCUACCACUUGCUAUAUCAUGCCUCCCAUACUGCCAUGUCAGCCCCUAACCUUUUCACCCUUCCUAGCAAACCGUUGUUUGGCUAUGUUACCGCUUUUGCUCAGCCCCUCUUAUAGCGUUGCUAGUAGCAGGUGAAGACGAAGAUUGCUCCAUGUUGGAUUAUGUUUAUGUUGGGAUAUCACAAUAUCUCUUAUUUAAUUAAUGCAUCUAUAUACUUGGUAAAGGGUGGAAGGCUCGGCCUUAUGCCUGGUGUUUUGUUCCACUCUUGCCGCCCUAGUUUCCGUCAUACCGGUGUUAUGUUCCUUGAUUUUGCGUUCCUUACGCGGUUGGGUGAUUUAUGGGACCCCCUUGACAGUUCGCUUUGAAUAAAACUCCUCCAGCAAGGCCCAACCUUGGUUUUACCAUUUGCUACCACCUAUCCCCUUUUCCCUUGGGUUCUGCAGACUCAAGGGUCAUCUUUAUUUUAGACCCCCCCCCCCCGGGCCAGUGCUCCUUCGAGUGUUGGUCCGAACCGAGCAACCUGCGGGGCCACCUCGGGGAAACUCGAGGUCUGGUUUUACUCGUAGCUUGACUUAUCUGGUGUGCCCUGAGAACGAGAUAUGUGCAGCUCCUAUCGGGAUUUGUCGGCACAUUUGGGUGGCUUUGCUGGUCUUGUUUUACCAUUGUCGAAAUGUCUUGUAAACCGGGAUUCCGAGACUGAUCGGGUCUUUUCGGGAGAAGGUUUAUCCUUCGUUGACCGUGAGAGCUUAUGAUGGGCUAAGUUGGGACACCCUUGCAGGGUAUUAUCUUUCGAAAGCCGUGCCCGCGGUUAUGAGGCAGAUGGGAAUUUGUUAAUGUCCGGUUGUAGAGAACUUGUCACUUGACCCAAUUAAAAUACAUCAACUGUGUGUGUAGCCGUGAUGGUCUCUUCUCGGCGGAGUCCGGGAAGUGAACACGGUUUGAGUUAUGUAUAACGUAAGUAGGAGUUCAGGAUCACUUCUUGGUCAUUGCUAGAUGUCGACCGUUCCGUUACUCCUCUUCUCGCUCUUAUUUGCGUAUGUUAGCCACCAUAUUUGCUUAGUCGUUGUUGCAACCUCACCACCUUCCCCUUUCCUACCCUUAAGCUUGAAUAGUCUUGAUCUCGCGGGUGUGAGAUUGCGGAGUCCUCGUGACUCACAGAUACUUCCAAACAGUUGCAGGUGCCGAUGAGACCAGUGCAGGUGACGCAACUGAGCUCAAGUGGGAGCUCGAUGAAGAUCUUGUUCGAUGUGUUGUUUCUUUUCAUAUUGAUCAGUAGUGGUGCCCAGUUGGGACGAUCGGGGAUCUAGCAAUUGGGGUUGUCUUAUUUUCAUUUGGUUUUUGACCGUAGUCGGUCUAUAUGUAUGUAUUUUGGAUCAUGUAUGAUUUAUAUUUAUGUAUUGUGUGAAGUGGCGAUUGUAAGCCAACUCUUU
This 2560-nucleotide long non-coding RNA is filed under the name Triticum aestivum (bread wheat). Its description in RNAcentral is "long non-coding RNA (TAES_LNC000554)". Lineage: Eukaryota; Viridiplantae; Streptophyta; Magnoliopsida; Poales; Poaceae. The record is from RNAcentral.